CGGGCGGCGCUACCUGUGCCCACCUGAGCCACGCCCACCCGAGCCACGCCCACCCGGACAGGACCAGGACACGCCCACGGGCCCCGCGCUCUGAUUGGCUCCGCCCUCCCCUGCACCAGCCAAUCACCUGUGCAGAAAUAAACCUCCCUUUAUUCCAUA
Molecule: non-coding RNA, 159 nt
Organism: Sturnus vulgaris (Common starling)
Lineage: Eukaryota; Metazoa; Chordata; Aves; Passeriformes; Sturnidae
Source: RefSeq, a predicted model, not a curated record